RNAcentral lists this ribosomal RNA (505 nucleotides) under uncultured bacterium. RNAcentral describes it as "partial 16S ribosomal RNA". It matches the Rfam family "Bacterial small subunit ribosomal RNA", at positions 28 to 507 of the family's 1533-position model. The record is from RNAcentral.
GACGAACGCUGGCGGCGUGCCUAAUACAUGCAAGUAGAACGCACAGUUUAUACCGUAGCUUGCUACACCAUAGACUGUGAGUUGCGAACGGGUGAGUAACGCGUAGGUAACCUGCCUGGUAGCGGGGGAUAACUAUUGGAAACGAUAGCUAAUACCGCAUAAUAUUGAUUAUUGCAUGAUAAUUAAUUGAAAGGUGCAAUUGCACCACUACCAGAUGGACCUGCGUUGUAUUAGCUAGUAGGUGAGGUAACGGCUCACCUAGGCGACGAUACAUAGCCGACCUGAGAGGGUGAUCGGCCACACUGGGACGGGGACACGGCCCAGACUCCUACGGGAGGCAGCAGUAGGGAAUCUUCGGCAAUGGACGAAAGUCUGACCGAGCAACGCCGCGUGAGGGAAGAAGGUUGUCGGAUCGUAAAGCUCGGUUGUAAGAGAAGAACGGGUGUGAGAGUGGAAAGUUCACACUGUGACGGUAUCUUACCAGAAAGGGACGGCUAACUACGUG